This 410-nucleotide ribosomal RNA is filed under the name uncultured bacterium. RNAcentral describes it as "bacterial SSU rRNA". It matches the Rfam family "Bacterial small subunit ribosomal RNA", at positions 509 to 916 of the family's 1533-position model. The record is from RNAcentral.
CAGCCGCCGCGGUAAUUCGUAGGGUGCAAGCGUUGUCCGGAAUUAUUGGGCGUAAAGAGCUUGUAGGCGGUUUGUCGCGUCUGCUGUGAAAUUUCGGGGCUCAACCCCGAACUUGCAGUGGGUACGGGCAGACUAGAGUGUGGUAGGGGAGACUGGAAUUCCUGGUGUAGCGGUGAAAUGCGCAGAUAUCAGGAGGAACACCGAUGGCGAAGGCAGGUCUCUGGGCCAUAACUGACGCUGAGAAGCGAAAGCAUGGGGAGCGAACAGGAUUAGAUACCCUGGUAGUCCAUGCCGUAAACGUUGGGAACUAGGUGUGGGCCUCAUUCCACGAGGUCCGUGCCGCAGCUAACGCAUUAAGUUCCCCGCCUGGGGAGUACGGCCACAAGGCUAAAACUCAAAGGAAUUGACGG